AUUGAACGCUGGCGGCAUGCCUUACACAUGCAAGUCGAACGGCAGCACGGGUGCUUGCACCUGGUGACGAGUGGCGAACGGGUGAGUAAUACAUCGGAACGUACCUUAUCGUGGGGGAUAACGCAGCGAAAGCUGUGCUAAUACCGCAUACGCCCUGAGGGGGAAAGCGGGGGAUCGAAAGACCUCGCGCGAUUAGAGCGGCCGAUGCCUGAUUAGCUUGUUGGUGGGGUAAAAGCCCACCAAGGCGACGAUCAGUAGCUGGUCUGAGAGGACGAUCAGCCACACUGGGACUGAGACACGGCCCAUACUCCUACGGGAGGCAGCAGUGGGGAAUUUUGGACAAUGGGGGCAACCCUGAUCCAGCAAUGCCGCGUGAGUGAAGAAGGCCUUCGGGUUGUAAAGCUCUUUUGUCAGGGAAGAAACACCGGCUCUAACACAGUCCGGGAAUGACGGUACCUGAAGAAUAAGCACCGGCUAACUACGUGCCAGCCGCCGCAGUAA
Molecule: ribosomal RNA, 501 nt
Filed under: uncultured bacterium
Lineage: Bacteria
Description: partial 16S ribosomal RNA
Rfam family: Bacterial small subunit ribosomal RNA
Source: RNAcentral